AUCUAGCUGACGAGUCCGAAAUAGGACGAAACGUACAUCCUGGAU
RNAcentral lists this non-coding RNA (45 nucleotides) under Schistosoma mansoni. The record is from RNAcentral. Lineage: Eukaryota; Metazoa; Platyhelminthes; Trematoda; Strigeidida; Schistosomatidae.